Cucumis sativus (cucumber) is the source of this 617-nucleotide long non-coding RNA. RefSeq lists it as uncharacterized. The record is from RefSeq and is a predicted model, not a curated record. The transcript has 4 exons. NCBI's taxonomy places the organism in Eukaryota, Viridiplantae, Streptophyta, Magnoliopsida, Cucurbitales, Cucurbitaceae.
UGAAAAUAAUGAGGUUUUGAAGGGGAUAGAAAGAGAGUGAUGGUGGGAUCCAUCAAAGGUUUGGGAUUUCACACAAUGUUCGCAUCACUCUUUUAAAUGUAAUUAGAGGUUGAGGAGUUGAUCGCCGAUCAUAGAUAAGGAGGGGCUGGUUAGUGGCUUGAAAAAGAAUUCAGACAACAUUAAUUUUUUCUAAAAAAUAAAACCAACCUUCCGACGGUUGGUUAACACUCCUCGACAGUCGAGAUAGGGUUUUCAUCAUUAUUCAUUUGGUGGCUAAAUAUUACUCAUGGGACGUUUCUAGAGAAUGCAAGACCAUGUUUGAGUGAGAAAUUGGUCUCGAUGAAAUUGAGAGUUCAAUGAACAACACAUACAAUGCAAGUAAAUCUACCUACUCAAACCCAUCUUCUAUUUCUAAAGCAGAAGGGCUUUCGGUGGCUGAACCAAUAGAAGAUUCUUCGUUGGGAAGCAAAGCUUAUAGCUUUGAUGAGUAUCUAAAGGUUACAGAAGAGCAACUGAAAGCUUACGAUCAGCUCCAAACCAAUUUUCCAGCACAAAGCCAGAGUGGAUCCCAAGUACAACGGGAAGGUUGUUAAAAUCAAAUCUCUUAUGUCUUAUUU